UACGUAGGGGGCUAGCGUUGUCCGGAAUCAUUGGGCGUAAAGAGCGCGUAGGCGGCCAGAUAAGUCCGCUGUGAAAUCUCGAGGCUCAACUUCGAGCUGUCGGUGGAAACUGUCUGGCUAGAGUCCGGAAGAGGAGAGUGGAAUUCCUGGUGUAGCGGUGAAAUGCGCAGAUAUCAGGAAGAACACCCGUGGCGAAGGCGGUUCUCUGGGACGGUACUGACGCUGAGACGCGAAAGCGUGGGGAGCGAACAGG
This 253-nucleotide ribosomal RNA is filed under the name uncultured bacterium. RNAcentral describes it as "partial 16S ribosomal RNA". It matches the Rfam family "Bacterial small subunit ribosomal RNA", at positions 524 to 776 of the family's 1533-position model. The record is from RNAcentral.